ACGACCUUACUUGAACAGGAUCUGUUUUACAGGCUCGUACCACUGUAUCCUUGAGUUCUAAGGAGACAAGAAACCAAGCCAUGGUGGAUGAACCAUGACCAUUGGACCAGAGCGUGAUUAACAGUCCCAUGGACUUCGGGUCAUGGCCAUGGCACUGUAGAGGAUCGUUCUUUGCUCCUACUCUGGUGGUAUUGCUAUGGCUAGUGGUCUCGCAACAACGACA
This 223-nucleotide small nucleolar RNA is filed under the name Nicotiana sylvestris (wood tobacco). RNAcentral's name for it is "Plant small nucleolar RNA U3". It matches the Rfam family "Plant small nucleolar RNA U3". From Rfam's summary of the family: Small nucleolar RNAs (snoRNAs) are involved in the processing and modification of rRNA in the nucleolus. The record is from Rfam by way of RNAcentral. Lineage: Eukaryota; Viridiplantae; Streptophyta; Magnoliopsida; Solanales; Solanaceae.